CUUGACUUGACGAGUCCCAAAUAGGAUGAAACAGCUGUCAAG
Molecule: non-coding RNA, 42 nt
Filed under: Echinostoma caproni
Lineage: Eukaryota; Metazoa; Platyhelminthes; Trematoda; Plagiorchiida; Echinostomatidae
Source: RNAcentral